Molecule: unclassified non-coding RNA, 235 nt
Filed under: plant metagenome
Description: partial contains small subunit ribosomal RNA, internal transcribed spacer 1, and 5.8S ribosomal RNA
Source: RNAcentral
UCUCCGUUGGUGAACCAGCGGAGGGAUCAUUACCGAAGUUACCUUCAAAACCCACUGUGAACCUUACCUCUUGCCGCGUUGUCUCGGCGGGAGGCGGUGUGCGUCGCGCGCCCUAGCGGGCCGCGCCGCUCCCGUCCCCGCCGGCAGCGCCAAACUAUAAAUGCACAGCGGACUGUACGUUCUGAUUUACAAAAAAAACAAGUUAAAACUUUCAACAACGGAUCUCUUGGUUCUG